UCCUGGCUCAGGAUGAACGCUGGCGGUGUGCCUAAUACAUGCAAGUCGAGCGGGGAUCUUCGGAUCCUAGCGGCGAACGGGUGAGUAACGCGUAUCCAACCUUCCCCUUAGUAGAGGAUAGCCCGGCGAAAGUCGGAUUAACACUCUAUGCUGUAUUUUGAUGGCAUCUGACGAAUACCAAAGAUUUAUCGCUAAGGGAUGGGGAUGCGUCUGAUUAGGUUGCAGGCGGGGUAACGGCCCACCUGGCCUACGAUCAGUAGGGGUUCUGAGAGGAAGGUCCCCCCACACUGGUACUGAGACACGGACCAGACUCCUACGGGAGGCAGCAGUGAGGAAUAUUGGUCAAUGGGCGCGAGCCUGAACCAGCCAAGUAGCGUGCAGGAUUGACUGCCCUAUGGGUUGUAAACUGCUUUUAUCAGGGAAUAAAGUGAGGCACGCGUGCCUUUUUGUAUGUACCUGAUGAAUAAGGACCGGCUAAUUCCGUGCCAGCAGCCGC
RNAcentral lists this ribosomal RNA (496 nucleotides) under uncultured bacterium. RNAcentral describes it as "bacterial SSU rRNA". It matches the Rfam family "Bacterial small subunit ribosomal RNA", at positions 17 to 518 of the family's 1533-position model. The record is from RNAcentral.